RNAcentral lists this long non-coding RNA (222 nucleotides) under Hordeum vulgare. RNAcentral's name for it is "long non-coding RNA (HVUL_LNC004387)". The record is from RNAcentral. Lineage: Eukaryota; Viridiplantae; Streptophyta; Magnoliopsida; Poales; Poaceae.
UAAGUGGCGAGAGCGUGUGUGACGAAGUACACCCCUGCAGGGUUAUGAUCUAUUCGAAUAGCCGCGUCCGCGGAUAUGGACUACUUGAAGACAUAUGUUGUUCAUAGAUAACUUCAAUGGCUACUCAUAAAAUUGUCAAGAUAAGCGUGAGUGUCGUGGACGGCAUUUCCGUAUGGAGACGGAAUGAUUCCACGAUGGAGUAUUCUUGUGGUGUUAGUGGAC